CCACAAAGGAACACAAAUAGCCAAAACGUUGUUGAGAAACAAGAAGAAGGUGGUGGCUUGGUUAUUGCAGACUUCAAAGUACCUGAGACAGCUGUGCUAGGCAAGCAGCACGGUGCUGGCAUAAAAGUAGGGGCACACUGCAGCAGAAUAGAGAGUUCCAAAAUAAAUUCACUCAUUCAUGCCUUGUUAAUCCUUGAGGAGACCACAGGAUGGGAAAAGGAUACCCUCUUCAACAGGGAGCAGAAUGAAAAGGCAUCCGAAAGUGAAACCCACAGCAGUGUUCCUGAGGAUGUAGAUAAGUUGGGGCUUUGUAUGUUACUUUGCUGCAGGCUCAUUCAAUCCAAGGAAAACUCUGCUCCGUUUUAUAAUUGUUCACUAAUCAUUCAUCAUAAGGAAAAUCAAGUAUAUAAGCUUUCAAUCGACCAACAUCUCUGCAUUUUAACAAGGCCUACAUCAAGAAAGUCCAAUUUCUUUCCAGUCGUCCUUUUCUCUGAAACAUGCGGGUUUCCAUCAGGUCAGUGCAGAUCCCUUCACUCAGGAGCCACAGAGCCAGUGGCAAGUUUGUGACUCGGUGUCGGGGCACCUGUCAUGAACACUGGUGUACUUUUACCUGGCCCAGGCCAUAUAGGCGAUUUUCAACAACUUGCUGUUGGGCACCAAGUUAAUGACAAAGCUUUCCUUUGAGCUCCUGUUUACCCCUCACACUUCACUGUGGGCUGAUAUGUUGAAAGCAUUUUUUUUGUUAAGGCUAAUUCAUUAGCCUUAGGAAACACUCUGAAAUAUUUUCCUGAAUCUUCUCUGUUUGGACCCUGCAUGAGACACGUCCCCAGCUAAGACAGAUGUUGUGCCCUUUGUUACUGACUCAUCCCCCUCUGAGGAAAGGGAAUAAUAAGCAAACCUCCAGGUGAAGCUGUGGUGAGCUAGGAAUGUGGCAACCUAAGCAGUGUGCCUGGUGACGGUGAAGUGUACUUUGGUAACUGGAUACUUGCAUUGAUUUGUGUAAUUGAGAAAUGUCUCGUGAUGGAACACACACACUCAGUGCACUGAAAUUGUUCCCAGGGCUCAUUACGCCCCAAUGGACAGCCCGACCCUACUCCU
RNAcentral lists this long non-coding RNA (1098 nucleotides) under Vulpes vulpes (red fox). Its description in RNAcentral is "lncRNA (ENSVVUG00000009378.1)". Lineage: Eukaryota; Metazoa; Chordata; Mammalia; Carnivora; Canidae. The record is from RNAcentral.